Coturnix japonica (Japanese quail) is the source of this 9474-nucleotide non-coding RNA. NCBI's taxonomy places the organism in Eukaryota, Metazoa, Chordata, Aves, Galliformes, Phasianidae. The record is from RefSeq and is a predicted model, not a curated record.
ACUCAGGGAGAUGCUUACAGAGGCGCUUAACUUUCAGAGCGAAGUCCCACCCCUGCUCAGUAACACGAUUUCAGAGGAGCACAGCGGCUGGAGCAGGCCCCGCAUCCCGACGCCGUCGCUUCCCCUCCGCCCACCAGCACUGCCUGGAGCCGACCGGCCCGGGACCCCGUAGCGGCUCGGCCCUGCCCCCCGCGCAGAUGGCUCCGCCGCCACAUGGGAGAUGCCGGCCGGGAAAUCUGUCGCCGUCGGCACAAGACAAAACCGCCGGUCGGCGAUGAAAGGAGCGGGGAGCGGCCCCACAGAGCCCCCUCCGGAACAAUGGCGGUCCCUCAGGAGCCCGCGGCCGAGCGCCGACAAAGGCUGUGGCUGCCCCCGGGCCGCAGCUGCCCGGUCCUGCAGAAGCUGCAGAAGUUCAGGACGCUGAACUUGUCGUGUGCUGAGGAGCCAGCCGAGCAGCACAGGUCAUUAGUCACCCAGAUCUGCUCCACAAUUCAAGCAGAGCGCAGUAAGUGGGAACAACUGGGAGAUCUGCUUUGAAGAGAAUGUAAACUCCAUCACCGUCACAGCUCUCAGUCCACAUCAGUUACUGAACAGAAACCGAUACUGUGCGAGAUGAAGAAAUAAGAACCCAAUGAACAGCAGAACAGCUUUAUGCAACUGGAUUUCUUUCAUUCUUGUCCUGGAGUUUCCUGCUGCUGGUAGGAAAAAAGAUAUCAGAAAAUUGAAGUGUUUUCUGGGAAAAACAAGGCUCCUAAAGGGAAGAAACUGCAUUGCUGCAGCAGCUGGGACCUUGGAGCCUUUCGCAGACAUUUUUGCAGUCUGGAGGGGUAGCCAGGCAAUAGGCAUUUUCAGAUGGCCGUUAUCUACCUUAAAUCAUCCAGCCUCCUGAGCAGCUCCAUGCACUCCCAGCCUCAAGUUCUUGGCACAGGGUGUGGGUUCCAUGGGCCUCCUGGAGUGUCUCCAAAUCCUCACUGAGAUGAUGGUGCCAAGGCCUUAAGUGCUGCAGUCUUACUUCUAUCCCUGCGCAGAGAAGAGAAGGAAAAGUGAUCUGGAUGCUGCCAGGCAGACCACAGCAGCUCGCUGAGCCCAUCAUUGUUUCGCUUCCCUUAAAUAGGGGUUCUCUUGUUUUCCCAACUGUGUUUUGCACUCAUGUGUAAUACAGUUUUGUUCCCGGACGUGAAAGGAGAUGCAGGGUGCUGUAAAGCUGUGGGCAGGUGGCUUGUCAGGAAAAAGGAAGAUCUCACGCUUGCUUCCCCGAGCUGGCAGCCAUCCCCAGCAGCAGGUGGGUCGCCUCCCACCCAAUGCUCACAGUGCUUCGGGUCCGGCCGUUCCCGGGAUCCUGGCUUUCUGGUGACUGAAAUGGCAGCAGCAAGGAGCAUUUCCUGCUGCUGCAUUUUCCUCAUCCUCCCUUUCUUCAUCCCAUUUUCUACCUCUGAGUAUGACAAGCUUUGCAGGGCUGGAUGCACCCAAAGAGAGUGAGCGCAUUAGGGCAGCAAAUAGGCACGCGGUAAAAGUUAGCACCAUCAGUCAAAAAGCUCGGAUAUGGAACAUUAUCAAUCUUUUAAAGUUAUUAUGCAGAAGCAAACUGCUGAGUGUAUAAAUAUUUUAUAGACAUUAAACUAUUGAGCAAUUAUUGGAGCUGGGAUUUAAUCUCUUUUGGUCUGACUUGACAAAAUAACAAAAAAGGGAUCACAGUAAGAAAACAGACUGCAAACCAGUGUGAUGAAACCCUGGAGCGGAUCCAGGGAGCCCAUUCUCCUCCCACACUGGUAAUUGUUACCAGUGUAAUUCACAGACUUAAAUGAAGUUACUUUUUAUUCAGGCUCAAAAUAAGUGGGCAAAGAAUGGAGUGCGCAGCUUUUUGCUCGGCUGUGAAAGGGCACAAUGUGCAGUGGAUGAACUUCAUCACCCAGGAUGCUGCAGGCAGACACACUCCCAGCGCCCUCCCACUGAAGAUAAAGGCUCUGAGUGACUUUUCAUUUCAUCGUAAAACAAAAGGGAGCCAUCAGCCCUGGUUACGCUGAGGAGAGGUGUGAAGGAGCGCCUGUACCAGCACUACUUGAGGACUCUUCAUUGCUAUCUCCACUUGCUGCACAAAUCGAGUACUUCUGCACGUGGGAGGCACGGUACAGCACAGAUUUAUCACAGAAAAACAGAGCACUCCUUGCUGAAGGCACACAGCUAAUACCUCUCAAAGCUACAGGCCUGUUGGAGGGGAGCUAAAUCAUCCACUGGACAGUUCGGCAGCCCUUACAAUUUUGCAGCAUUUAUCCAUGGCUUCGAACCAUUUAUUUCACCAGUCACUCCUAUGAGUUGGAAGCAUGCGAUUCAGGUGAGCUGGUCACUAAUUCUUGUGUGCGAUGCAAAUCUCUAUAUUCUUCUUUGGCAGUCAUCUGCCCAGAACAGACCAUCACUGUUAUGCGGUGUUUAUCUGUUUUGGGAAUUUUGCUUAGCGGCUCAAGAGCAGAGAAGAGAAAGUAAUGGUGUAAUGGUGUGGUGCAAUAGUAUGUUAGCAAGAAUCAGACAUUUCUGAUUAAUAAUUCAUUCUAUUCUAAGAGGAAAUAUAGUAUAAUUGUGUAGGGGUCUCCAGUUGGGCAAUAUGAUUCUAGUUGUCUUUUCCGGCCUCAAUGAUUCUAUGAUCCUACAAAAGUAACGCCUCCUAUUUAUUUCUAUGGAAACUUUAUGGACAGUAACAUUUCCCUGUUUUGAGGGGGAAGGAGAGCAACUCUGGGAUACUGUGAAAUUUGGACUUUGCAAAUAUUAAGUAUUUUAUAAAACCUACAUCCACUAGGCACUGCCAUUUGCUCUAUCUGGGCAAUAGAGGUGCUUUCAGGUCCAGCUCCAAAUGUUUAACAUUGUAUAGCAUGGAUAGCAUGUUCUUAGGGUAGGAUCUGACCACUUGAACUAACAGAUUUCUGCCUGUCUUCUGCAGUGAUGAGAAACCACAACUACUUAGAAGUAUGUGUUGAAAAAUUAAAUAAAGAAGGGUGAAACUGUGGCCUUUAAGGGAGUCUUAAAGCUUCUGUGAAAGAGAAAGUUGGAUAUGCAGAUUCUUUAAUUUCAAUUAAGUAUUUUUAUGACCAUCCAGGGGAAAAAAAAUAAAAUGCAUCAGCAACAUAAAGAAAUGAACUUCAGACUGAAAGAUCUGUGUCAACAUCUGGACCUGGGUCUUGAAAACAAGGUGGCUGAGGUCAUUCCAUUUUAUAAAUCCAGUUUAUGAACAGUACACUCAAAGUAUGAACAAGUGCAAAACCUGGAGACACAUAAACUGUGUAUUUCAUUCCUGGGCAUUGAAAUAACAAAAAAAGGACAGAGUCAAAGGGCUCCUCUCAACAUAUAUGUGUUUUAAAUGUAUGUAAAGGGCCCAUGUGACACUCAAAUAAUAACACUGGGAAUAUGGGAAAUGAGGCUAAGAAAUAUUUAUACUAUUCUUUCUUUUUUUCUGGGGUGAAGGGUUAAACUUGGUUAACAACGGGCUGAUUAGGUCAAGAACAUGGGCUCCAUCAAGUUUGCAAAGCACUCCAAACAAAUAAAAUGAAUGUUUUCAUAAGAUCAAAUUCUCAUUGUAAUUUCUCACAGAAGAUACAUUUACUUAUUAAAAGCAAGUAAUAACAAGAGCACACUUGUAUUUCAGUGUGAAGGUCCAGAGAAAAAUUGACUUUUUCUUCAAAUCUUUGGCAUCCUUUUCUCCCACGUGCCUUCCCAUCUCAGCCAGGAGGUCAGAGCUACCUGCUAUUGCGCAGGGAUUAAUUGUGACAGCUGUGUAUUUCUCCUACAACUCAAUUAGCAAGAUGCCUGCUCUAGUCUAAAUAUGACAAUGGAGAACAUUAUCUGCAGCCAUAUUUUGUCUGCUGAGUAAGCCUCAUGCUUUUUGGUUGUAAGUAGCAAUCAUGGUGAAUUUAAGGGCAGAUCUACAAGUGUUCCUACUUCUUAAAUGCCAUGCACAGGCCUGGGGACCUCAUCUCAGGCAGUGUGUAGUGGAAUUACAAUGAAUAAAGCAUGUGUGAUGAGGACCAGAAGCCUGGAACAGUGUUUGUAACCAGCACUCUGGUGUAGCUGGGACUCUGUAGUUUAGAAAUGAGGCGACUCCUCUUUCAGAAUGGAAAUCUGUGAAACUAGAAAUGGUUUAUGGAAGAAAAAUGGAAAAAGGAUGAUUAGAUGGUAUCUGUCACAAUAGAUGGGCAUUCAAGGUAAACAUCCAGUAGUCAGUUUAAAACAAUCACAAAUAUGUAUUUGUUUUCUUGCCAUUUUAAAAUGUUCUUUCAAAUUUAUUGCCACUGGAUAUAACCUAAAUCGCAGCUAGUUGUGCAACAGUCAGUUGUGAUCUGUAAUGAAACUAUCGCAGAGGAUGUGUCCAUCUAUGAGUGACAAACCCAGCGCUCCACACUGAACUUCCUUCUGUGAACUUCCUUAAAAUGCAAACUGUUAUCAACAGGGAGGACACUGGGGAGGCUCAUUCUCUAGUUGUCCUGUUCUGUAAGGGGCCCUAACUCAGCACUUAGACAAACUUCAGAUGUGACUGCAGUCUACAUGGGCUGGUUCUGAUCCAGUUCACUAAUUUUUAUAUUCUUGAGGGUUGUAGGAAGGUGGCCACGCUGUGUGCAGCCAUGUGAAUGUUUCCAUGAUCAAAGUGUGAACACACAGACCACAGUUAUUGCCAGCUUGGUGGUGGGAGGAAGAAGAGUGGAGGAAGAGGAAGGUUGGCUGCUCGUCCACCCAUAGCACCAGGUCUGGUUGCUGACAAACGUUACUGUUCAGGGGAGCUCUGUGUUCGACUCAGCUCUCUGCACUGUUGUCUAAAUACCUCAGAAUAUAGAAUUAGACUGCUUGAAGCUGAAAAGGACCUCUGGAGGUCAUCUUAUCCAACCCCACACUCAAGCAGAGGCACUCAGAGCAGGCUGCUAUUAUCCAGAAAUCUUUUGAAGAUCUCCAAUAGGGACACUCCAUAACGUCUUUGGCCAACCUGUUCCAGCCUGUUCUGGGCAGCCUGUAACCACACUGAUUAUGAUAUUGUGAUGAUUAUAUUUCUUUGGUAGAUGUUCAUUCCCUUCAAUAAGUUGGCUAUCAUGACUUCUUCAAAGAAUGUGCCGUCUUUCCCAUCCCCUAAUAAGAGCCAAAGAAAAAGUGGAAGAAUUGAAUGAUUUGUGAGGUUUUUAAAGAAAGGGAAAACCUUUCACUUACUGAAGACUGGUGGUAAUCAAAAGCUGUUAACAUCAGAUGGCUCAUUUGAUGGCAAACACAAAAACAAACCAACAAAUCACAGCUAUUCUAGCCAAAUGGUUUUCCUUCAGUCUCUGGAUAAAAGCAAGAAUUUAUGAUGCCACAGAAGCCACGAGUCUUCAUCCCAAGAUACUGGCUCUUUGGGCUGCAGCUGAUGCAGCCUUUGUGGGACAAGGGAAAGGCCCCAGGUACACCUGCUCUGCAGACAGGCAGAAAGACCUGUUUCUCCAUGCGCUCCUUCCAGUGAUGUUACACAACCACUGAGUCCAGAGAGCAGAAAGAUUUACACAGAGAGACAUAAAUUGCCCUGUCCAUUUCCUUCAAAAUGUCAGACUAUUUCCUUAACUCACAUGUUCAAAGGAAAACUACAAGAAAGAUGGUGUGAGUUUUUCAUACAGUUUUUCACCGGAGACCAAUAUUCUCAUUCUUUGAAUUCUGCCAUUCAUUUUGAGGGUUUCAGCACAGAGAAAAACAUCUUGUCUCCAUAACCACGAACAAAUCACUUCACAACAAAGGGGAUACCUCUACCAGUUUCAGCCUCAGUCCAGGAAUUUAUCAGAGCUUUUAAUAAGACCCCUGAGUGAUUUGUUUUGAGCCUUUGCUGCUAUGAAAGCACUUUGUUCUUUAGAUUCACAGGUCCAACAUUUCUGCUACCAAUACAGUUCAGUCGCUGCCUGCUCAGUGAAUUCUUCUGCCACUGCCUUCCUUCAGGAAUGAAGGCAGUGACGAUGCACACUCCAGCCACCUAAGCUCACUCUUAAAAAGGUGCCACUUCAGCAAACCCUGUCCUGCUUUUCCAGCGUAAAGUUGAACACAUUUGCUUAACACAUGCCUUUAUUACGCUCACAAAAUGCACGUGCCUUCCCUGGCUGGAAAAAAAUUGAAGCAAAGUCUUAUCUUGCAGAGAGGAGGCUGCACAUCACUGUGACUCUGCUGUGUUCUGCAAGUCUGGAGUUGUACAUUUUUGGCUCUUUUUUACUUAUUUUAAUCACUUUUUAUUUACUCCUUCUGUCUCCACAAACCCGUGUUAUGACAGUUUGCAUAUUUUAACAUUAAGAUUUAUUUCCUCCCCAUUUUUUAAUGUACCCCAGAGACAGUCAAAUGACUUGACUAUCAGUUAACAUUAAUUUUAAAACUGUGUCCAAAUAUUUAAUUGAAUUGGUUGUGUCAGUGACUUAAUCACCUAAUUGCCAGCGUUUCUAUUUCUGUGGUACAGAUUGUCAGUGAGUCUGAAAGAUCAGUUGUUUUGCUGGGGACUGGGAAUAAUCUCCUUCCAAAUGGUACAAACAGCUGAACAACACAGGCAAAAUAUACCCUGAAUGUACAUCCAAGUGCAAACCCAGAACACCAUGUCUGUUGUUCUACACACUGAUUGUUGUGGAAUAUUAGGUGUCUUUUGAGUUAUUCUUUGGAUGACAGCAUUAUUGAUACUAUUUUGCUUGCAUAUCUUAGAAACUAUAUUCAUGAUUUUUUAUUUCCUAAAUGUGGUCUUAUAUUACUUGGAUUGAAGAUAUGGGAGCAAGUUGCUCAUUUUAAAGCAUGUACAAUCAGUAUCAUGAUCUUCAACCAUAUGCAGCACAGAAACAGAGAACCUGGAGGGCUGAGGCUUUUUAAUUCCAAAAGGAAAUGUCAGAAGAAAAGAGUGAAUUAAUCUUUGGAAACUUGACAUCCUGUGUCUUUGCCUUGAAGAAUGAUUCUAGAUAGAAUCUCAUUAUCCUUUCUGUUUAAAGUCUUUUAUAUAAUGGUUGAUAACAGUAUUGCUUAGAAUCUGUAUGUUAUAAUAGUUGUAUAUUACAAUAUUGUGUGUUGGUGAUUCUGUAUGAAGUCUGCCAGGCGCAACCAGUUCUACCCAAAGUUGCUCAGUUCAGUUGGGGACUAUUGCAAACUACAACGUGUUGUUCCAGAAAGCUGAGGGCUGGCACUGAGUGAGAGUGCAAGGGGUGCUGUGCCUGCCCUUAUGAGGUGGCUUGUGUUUUCACACUCUAAUAGCUUUGGAAAGAACAGUUUUGGGGCAGAUGUGAACUUACCGAAGUAACAGAAUCAUAGAAUACCCUGAGUUUGAAGGGACCAAUAAGGACCAAGUCCAACUCCUGUGGUUAUGCUGGCUCUGUUAGCAUAAGAGGAAGAGCCUUCUGGUGAUACCAAGAUGAUCAUGGAGAUCCUCAGUGAGGACACAGCCACAAAGGCAGAGGUCAGAGACUCUGUGGAGGAAGCCAACCCAUCACAGGCUGGGGAGACACCCAGCCCCACAGACUGCACAGAAUCACACAAGUGCACCUGCUGCAGGCAGGACCAAUGCAGCAGUUUUCCAACAUAUCACACUCUGGAUUAAGCUUACCGUGCAUGUGCAAAAUGUCAUUAAAUGUCGUCAGUGCCGACACUCUUGGACUUUAUACAUCUGGUGACCUCUGAAGGCUGAAGCUGGGUACUGGCCACGUGGCUUCUUCAUGGGCUUCUCUACACAGGCCCACUCUUUUGCUAAAGAAUUUUAACUUGAACACAGCCACACAGGCACUGCAUUGUUCUUGCAUUUUGUAAAAUAAAUUCAUUGCCAGACUGGGACCUUGUGUGCCAAGUUAAAGAUGAGAGUGCGUUUUAUGUGUGCUUUCUAAGCCCCUGAAAGAGGAGGUUUGCAGUGUAAAUGCUGACACAGCCAGAACUGUAACUGAGUGAAUGAUAUUACUAUGAUAUCUUAUUUACCUCCAGCAAGGACUACAUCAGGAAAACUAAAUAAUGUAUUCCUGAUGUUACAGAUUUUAUUUGAUAGGCUAAAACUAAGAAGUUCAUGCUUUGAUUAAGGAAAAGUAGCAUCAUAAGAGCUGCCAAUUCACACAUGAUAAAGCGUUUCCAUAUUAACUUAGGAUUUAUUAAACACCUUUUUAAACAGAAAAGGACAAUUCAGAAAGAACAGGAAUGCGUAACACAGAAUAAGUGGAACUGCAGCAGUGGCUUUUUACAGCCACUACAAGAGGGAUGUACGGGUGACUGCUGUGUGUGAUUGGGUACCCAAAUACUUGCUGGUGCUACAUCUCUUUCACAUUUGAAUAAUUUACAGUAGAAACUCCAGAAAUACUCUCUUGCAGCUUGACAUCUGCUUAAUUGAACAGGAAAGCAUUGUAGAAAACAGGAUGAUAGGCACUCAUAGGUAAUGUGCACAAAGCAAUCUGGAAAUCAUGGCUAUUGGCUGCCAUCCUCUGCCGCUAAGUACAGUACAGCAUGGCUGUUAUGGAUCUAACUGAUGCAGGGUUUCCUUGACCAAGUUAAGUCUAUGUUGGUCUUGUAGAAGAAACAGCACCUACGCUUUGUCAUUUCCCUGCUGUGAGCUCUCUGAUGUCCAUGACUGGGUGUGGAAGCUGGGAGCUGGCAAGCUGCACUACAAAAGAAACCUGCUAAUUCUGAAAAGUGGUGUUUUGGGCUCAGCUGUCACUGCGGGAUGAAAUACGCUCAACCUUUCAGAGCAGACAAAUAAGCCUGGCCGUGCAAUGUGUAAUGUUUUCUUUUGUCCUUUAUAAAACUGAAACGACUGAAAUAAUAUUUCAGAAGAUUUUGAUAUCCUCGUUCCAGCGUGCCUUGGCAGUCCCCACACUGAAUAGUUUCUCCAGCUCCAGUGGAAUGCCUCUUGGAUGGGAGAUCGCCCUCACAGUGAAUUCAGCUGCUCUCCUGCUGCAGGAAUUUGCGGGCACACCGUUACACAUUAUUGAGGGAAAAUUACACAGACCUGUCCAAUGACAAGUGUAUAGUGUCGACAAUGUAUCCAAGAAAAGCUAUUGUAUGCGUUAAAGAAUGUGACUUUUUGGCAUUUGCUGAAGUAAGAAGAGGCAAGACUUUGCUGUCUAGGCUCUUAAAUCUUUACAUGAUGAGGCAGAGCAAGUUUCCAAGCACUUCUGCAGCACUUCCCUGUAUCAGUCCCCUUCCCUGCUCCUCACGCCAACAAUUCCGUAGAGCAUUUGCUCCAGCUCAGCGGCUGCUGAUAAAUCCUGCACCUUUCUGCUUCAGCCCCUUGUUGAAUGCACAUGGAAAUAAAACAAUCAAAAAAAUCCUCAAACUUAUUUUCUUCUAAGUAACUUGUUUGUUUCUAAACCUACAAAGCAAAUGCAUUCUUUGCUCUGUAAUUUGAUGUCUGCCUCUUUUUCCGCCAAGGUUGAUUUGGUAUUUCCUUUACAAACCUCAAUUGUUGGCAUUAAGAACUUGGCCAUUUCAACUUGACCGGACUAAAACUUGGCAAAUAAAUUGUAAGCUAGCAGUUUGACUGUU